Molecule: ribosomal RNA, 396 nt
Filed under: uncultured bacterium
Lineage: Bacteria
Description: bacterial SSU rRNA
Rfam family: Bacterial small subunit ribosomal RNA
Source: RNAcentral
UGAGUAAAGUAUCGGAACGUGCCCAGUCGUGGGGGAUAACGUAGCGAAAGCUACGCUAAUACCGCAUACGAUCUAUGGAUGAAAGCGGGGGAUCGCAAGACCUCGCGCGAUUGGAGCGGCCGAUAUCAGAUUAGGUAGUUGGUGAGGUAAAGGCUCACCAAGCCGACGAUCUGUAGCUGGUCUGAGAGGACGACCAGCCACACUGGGACUGAGACACGGCCCAGACUCCUACGGGAGGCAGCAGUGGGGAAUUUUGGACAAUGGGCGCAAGCCUGAUCCAGCAAUGCCGCGUGCAGGAUGAAGGCCUUCGGGUUGUAAACUGCUUUUGUACGGAGCGAAAAGGCUUCCACUAAUACUGGGGGCUCAUGACGGUACCGUAAGAAUAAGCACCGGCUA